This is a non-coding RNA of Danio rerio (zebrafish), 117 nucleotides long. Lineage: Eukaryota; Metazoa; Chordata; Actinopteri; Cypriniformes; Danionidae. The record is from Rfam.
ACCCUGAAAUAUAUCACCCUGCAGCCCAAGACUGGUUACUCACUGAAGCUAAGCAGGGCUGAGCCUGGUCAGUAGCUGGAUGGGAGACCACAUGGGAAAACAAGGUUGCUGUUGGAA